RNAcentral lists this ribosomal RNA (468 nucleotides) under uncultured bacterium. Its description in RNAcentral is "partial 16S ribosomal RNA". It matches the Rfam family "Bacterial small subunit ribosomal RNA", at positions 28 to 507 of the family's 1533-position model. The record is from RNAcentral.
GACGAACGCUGGCGGCGUGCUUAACGCAUGCAAGUCGAACGGAAAGGCCCUGCUUUUGUGGGGUGCUCGAGUGGCGAACGGGUGAGUAACACGUGAGUAACCUGCCCUUGACUUUGGGAUAACUUCAGGAAACUGGGGCUAAUACCGGAUAGGAGCUCCUACUGCAUGGUGGGGGUUGGAAAGUUUCGGCGGUUGGGGAUGGACUCGCGGCUUAUCAGCUUGUUGGUGGGGUAGUGGCUUACCAAGGCUUUGACGGGUAGCCGGCCUGAGAGGGUGACCGGCCACAUUGGGACUGAGAUACGGCCCAGACUCCUACGGGAGGCAGCAGUGGGGAAUAUUGCACAAUGGGCGGAAGCCUGAUGCAGCAACGCCGCGUGCGGGAUGACGGCCUUCGGGUUGUAAACCGCUUUCGCCUGUGACGAAGCGUGAGUGACGGUAAUGGGUAAAGAAGCACCGGCUAACUACGUG